RNAcentral lists this ribosomal RNA (492 nucleotides) under uncultured bacterium. RNAcentral describes it as "partial 16S ribosomal RNA". It matches the Rfam family "Bacterial small subunit ribosomal RNA", at positions 29 to 507 of the family's 1533-position model. The record is from RNAcentral.
AGUGAACGCUGGCGGUAGGCCUAACACAUGCAAGUCGAACGGCAGCACAGUAAGAGCUUGCUCUUACGGGUGGCGAGUGGCGGACGGGUGAGGAAUACAUCGGAAUCUACUUUUUCGUGGGGGAUAACGUAGGGAAACUUACGCUAAUACCGCAUACGACCUACGGGUGAAAGCAGGGGAUCUUCAGACCUUGCGCGAUUGAAUGCGCCGUUGUCGGAUUAGCUAGUUGGCGGGGUAAAGGCCCACCAAGGCGACGAUCCGUAGCUGGUCUGAGAGGAUGAUCAGCCAAACUGGAACUGAGACACGGUCCAGACUCCUACGGGAGGCAGCAGUGGGGAAUAUUGGACAAUGGGCGCAAGCCUGAUCCAGCCAUACCGCGUGGGUGAAGAAGGCCUUCGGGUUGUAAAGCCCUUUUGUUGGGAAAGAAAAGCAGCAGGUUAAUACCCCGCUGUUCUGACGGUACCCAAAGAAUAAGCACCGGCUAACUUCGUG